Molecule: ribosomal RNA, 712 nt
Filed under: uncultured beta proteobacterium
Lineage: Bacteria; Pseudomonadati; Pseudomonadota; Betaproteobacteria
Description: bacterial SSU rRNA
Rfam family: Bacterial small subunit ribosomal RNA
Source: RNAcentral
AGAGUUGUAUCCUGGCUCAGAUUGAACGCUGGCGGCAUGCCUUACACAUGCAAGUCGAACGGUAACAGGCCGCAAGGUGCUGACGAGUGGCGAACGGGUGAGUAAUGCAUCGGAACGUGCCCAGUCGUGGGGGAUAACUGCUCGAAAGAGCAGCUAAUACCGCAUACGACCUGAGGGUGAAAGCGGGGGACCGUAAGGCCUCGCGCGAUUGGAGCGGCCGAUGUCAGAUUAGCUAGUUGGUGGGGUAAAGGCCUACCAAGGCAACGAUCUGUAGUUGGUCUGAGAGGACGACCAGCCACACUGGGACUGAGACACGGCCCAGACUCCUACGGGAGGCAGCAGUGGGGAAUUUUGGACAAUGGGCGCAAGCCUGAUCCAGCAAUGCCGCGUGCAGGAAGAAGGCCUUCGGGUUGUAAACUGCUUUUGUCAGGGAAGAAAUCCCUUGGGUUAAUACCUCGGGGGGAUGACGGUACCUGAAGAAUAAGCACCGGCUAACUACGUGCCAGCAGCCGCGGUAAUACGUAGGGUGCGAGCGUUAAUCGGAAUUACUGGGCGUAAAGCGUGCGCAGGCGGUUAUGCAAGACAGAGGUGAAAUCCCCGGGCUCAACCUGGGAACUGCCUUUGUGACUGCAUGGCUAGAGUACGGUAGAGGGGGAUGGAAUUCCGCGUGUAGCAGUGAAAUGCGUAGAUAUGCGGAGGAACACCGAUGGCG